This 670-nucleotide small RNA is filed under the name Pan troglodytes (chimpanzee). RNAcentral describes it as "retained intron". The record is from RNAcentral. Lineage: Eukaryota; Metazoa; Chordata; Mammalia; Primates; Hominidae.
UCUGGAGCAGCGUUGUUUUAUCUCCGUCCGUCUUCUCUCCUACCUAAGUGCGUGCCGCCACCCGAUGGAAGAUUCGAUGGACAUGGACAUGAGCCCCCUGAGGCCCCAGAACUAUCUUUUCGGUUGUGAACUAAAGGCCGACAAAGAUUAUCACUUUAAGGUGGAUAAUGAUGAAAAUGAGCACCAGUUAUCUUUAAGAACGGUCAGUUUAGGGGCUGGUGCAAAGGAUGAAUUGCACAUUGUUGAAGCAGAGGCAAUGAAUUAUGAAGGCAGUCCAAUUAAAGUAACACUGGCAACUUUGAAAAUGUCUGUACAGCCAACGGUUUCCCUUGGGGGCUUUGAAAUAACACCACCAGUGGUCUUAAGGUUGAAGUGUGGUUCAGGGCCAGUGCAUAUUAGUGGACAGCACUUAGUAGCUGUGGAGGAAGAUGCAGAGUCAGAAGAUGAAGAGGAGGAGGAUGUGAAACUCUUAAGUAUAUCUGGAAAGCGGUCUGCCCCUGGAGGUGGUAGCAAGGUUCCACAGGUAGAGAUGGCAAGUUUAUUAUAGGUUUUGUAUUAUAGCUUUUAGUUUGGUGAUAGAACAGCUCUUGUUCAUGAGUAUGUAUCUUUUCUUUUCAAAGAAAAAAGUAAAACUUGCUGCUGAUGAAGAUGAUGACGAUGAUGAUGAAGA